RNAcentral lists this ribosomal RNA (390 nucleotides) under Staphylococcus pseudintermedius. RNAcentral's name for it is "partial 23S ribosomal RNA". It matches the Rfam family "Bacterial large subunit ribosomal RNA", at positions 1 to 384 of the family's 2925-position model. The record is from RNAcentral. Lineage: Bacteria; Bacillati; Bacillota; Bacilli; Caryophanales; Staphylococcaceae.
GAUUAAGUUAUUAAGGGCGCACGGUGGAUGCCUUGGCACUAGAAGCCGACGAAGGACGUUACUAACGACGAUAUGCUUUGGGGAGCUGUAAGUAAGCUUUGAUCCAUAGAUUUCCGAAUGGGGAAACCCAGCACGAGUUAUGUCGUGUUAUCUGCAUGUGAAUACAUAGCAUGCAAGAAGGCAGACCCGGAGAACUGAAACAUCUUAGUACCCGGAGGAAGAGAAAGAAAAAUCGAUUCCCUGAGUAGCGGCGAGCGAAACGGGAAGAGCCCAAACCAAUAAGCUUGCUUAUUGGGGUUGUAGGACACUCUGUACGGAGUUACAAAAGAAUUUGUUAGACGAAUAACCUGGAAAGGUUAAUCAUAGAAGGUAAUAAUCCUGUAGUCGAAA